GAUAAACGCUGGCGGCGUGCUUAACACAUGCAAGUCGAACGGUGAAGGCGGAGCUUGCUCUGCUGGAUCAGUGGCGAACGGGUGAGUAACACGUGAGCAAUCUGCCCCUGACUCUGGGAUAAGCGCUGGAAACGGCGUCUAAUACUGGAUACGAGCUGCGAAGGCAUCUUCAGCAGCUGGAAAGAAUUUCGGUCAGGGAUGAGCUCGCGGCCUAUCAGCUUGUUGGUGAGGUAAUGGCUUACCAAGGCGUCGACGGGUAGCCGGCCUGAGAGGGUGACCGGCCACACUGGGACUGAGACACGGCCCAGACUCCUACGGGAGGCAGCAGUGGGGAAUAUUGCACAAUGGGCGAAAGCCUGAUGCAGCAACGCCGCGUGAGGGACGACGGCCUUCGGGUUGUAAACCUCUUUUAGCAGGGAAGAAGCGAAAGUGACGGUACCUGCAGAAAAAGCGCCGGCUAACUACGUG
This 468-nucleotide ribosomal RNA is filed under the name uncultured bacterium. RNAcentral's name for it is "partial 16S ribosomal RNA". It matches the Rfam family "Bacterial small subunit ribosomal RNA", at positions 28 to 507 of the family's 1533-position model. The record is from RNAcentral.